This 495-nucleotide ribosomal RNA is filed under the name uncultured bacterium. Its description in RNAcentral is "partial 16S ribosomal RNA". It matches the Rfam family "Bacterial small subunit ribosomal RNA", at positions 28 to 507 of the family's 1533-position model. The record is from RNAcentral.
GACGAACGCUGGCGGCGUGCCUAAUACAUGCAAGUUGAGCGCUGAAGGUUGGUACUUGUACCGACUGGAUGAGCAGCGAACGGGUGAGUAACGCGUGGGGAAUCUGCCUUUGAGCGGGGGACAACAUUUGGAAACGAAUGCUAAUACCGCAUAAAAACUUUAAACACAAGUUUUAAGUUUGAAAGAUGCAAUUGCAUCACUCAAAGAUGAUCCCGCGUUGUAUUAGCUAGUUGGUGAGGUAAAGGCUCACCAAGGCGAUGAUACAUAGCCGACCUGAGAGGGUGAUCGGCCACAUUGGGACUGACACGGCCCAAACUCCUACGGGAGGCAGCAGUAGGGAAUCUUCGGCAAUGGACGAAAGUCUGACCGAGCAACGCCGCGUGAGUGAAGAAGGGUUUCGGAUCGUAAAACUCUGUUGGUAGAGAAGAACGUUGGUGAGAGUGGAAAGCUCAUCAAGUGACGGUAACUACCCAGAAAGGGACGGCUAACUACGUG